CACCGCGGUUAUACGAGAGGCCCAAGUUGACUGCCGCCGGCGUAAAGAGUGGUUAAGCCAGAGGAAAUUCACUAAAGCCGAAUGCCCUUAGAGCCGUUAUACGCACCCAAAGGUAAGAAGCCCAAUUACGAAAGUAGCUUUACUCCCCUGAACCCACGAAAGCUAGGACA
This 170-nucleotide ribosomal RNA is filed under the name Bembrops curvatura (brownspotted flathead). RNAcentral describes it as "partial 12S rRNA". The record is from RNAcentral. Lineage: Eukaryota; Metazoa; Chordata; Actinopteri; Perciformes.